This 223-nucleotide long non-coding RNA is filed under the name Rattus norvegicus (Norway rat). Its description in RNAcentral is "long non-coding RNA NONRATT033739". Lineage: Eukaryota; Metazoa; Chordata; Mammalia; Rodentia; Muridae. The record is from RNAcentral.
ACUGAGGUUUGGGGACCCUUAGCUACUCUUGCAGCUUGGGAGUCAAGGUCUAGGGGAUUAUGGGACACCACCUGGGGCUGACAGUGGGCCAGCAAGUCCUGCCAGCGGAUCAUCUUGGGAGACUCACCCACUGAUCGGGAGUAAUGUCCUGGCUACUGACCACGACCCCAGCCAGUGUCAGGAGGCUGUGGCACAGAUAGCAGACCUGGGGAGAGAGCGAGAG